AUACGUAGGGGGCAAGCGUUGUCCGGAAUUACUGGGCGUAAAGGGCCUGUAGGCGGCAUGGUAAGUCCGUAGUGAAAUCUCCCGGCUUAACUGGGAGCGUGCUAUGGAUACUGCCAAGCUAGAGAUCAUCAGAGGAGAGCGGAAUUCCCGGUGUAGUGGUGAAAUGCGUAGAUAUCGGGAGGAACACCAGUGGCGAAAGCGGCUCUCUGGGGUGGUUCUGACGCUGAGGGGCGAAAGCGUGGGGAGCAAACCGGAUUAGAAACCCGAGUAGUCC
This 274-nucleotide ribosomal RNA is filed under the name uncultured bacterium. RNAcentral describes it as "partial 16S ribosomal RNA". It matches the Rfam family "Bacterial small subunit ribosomal RNA", at positions 523 to 796 of the family's 1533-position model. The record is from RNAcentral.